GAUGAACGCUGGCGGCGUGCUUAACACAUGCAAGUCGAACGGGAAUUACUUUAUUGAAACUUCGGUCGAUUUAAUUUAAUUCUAGUGGCGGACGGGUGAGUAACGCGUGGGUAACCUGCCUUAUACAGGGGGAUAACAGUCAGAAAUGGCUGCUAAUACCGCAUAAGCGCACAGAGCUGCAUGGCUCAGUGUGAAAAACUCCGGUGGUAUAAGAUGGACCCGCGUUGGAUUAGCUAGUUGGUGGGGUAACGGCCCACCAAGGCGACGAUCCAUAGCCGGCCUGAGAGGGUGAACGGCCACAUUGGGACUGAGACACGGCCCAGACUCCUACGGGAGGCAGCAGUGGGGAAUAUUGCACAAUGGGGGAAACCCUGAUGCAGCGACGCCGCGUGAAGGAAGAAGUAUCUCGGUAUGUAAACUUCUAUCAGCAGGGAAGAUAGUGACGGUACCUGACUAAGAAGCCCCGGCUAACUACGUGCCAGCAGCCGCGGUAAUACGUAGGGGGCAAGCGUUAUCCGGAUUUACUGGGUGUAAAGGGAGCGUAGACGGUGUGGCAAGUCUGAUGUGAAAGGCAUGGGCUCAACCUGUGGACUGCAUUGGAAACUGUCAUACUUGAGUGCCGGAGGGGUAAGCGGAAUUCCUAGUGUAGCGGUGAAAUGCGUAGAUAUUAGGAGGAACACCAGUGGCGAAGGCGGCUUACUGGACGGUAACUGACGUUGAGGCUCGAAAGCGUGGGGAGCAAACAAGAUUAGAUACCCUGGUAGUCCACGCCGUAAA
RNAcentral lists this ribosomal RNA (777 nucleotides) under uncultured bacterium. RNAcentral's name for it is "bacterial SSU rRNA". It matches the Rfam family "Bacterial small subunit ribosomal RNA", at positions 28 to 806 of the family's 1533-position model. The record is from RNAcentral.